Molecule: long non-coding RNA, 223 nt
Filed under: Capsella rubella
Lineage: Eukaryota; Viridiplantae; Streptophyta; Magnoliopsida; Brassicales; Brassicaceae
Description: long non-coding RNA (CRUB_LNC002630)
Source: RNAcentral
UUUAGUCGCCAAAACGUCAACAUUUUGAGAAUGAUUCACGUAGUCGCAAAAUGGCCACUACAUUUUGCAACUGUUUAUGUAGUCGCUAAAUAUAACGACUAAUUAGCUAAGCAUGAGUGACUCUCUUUCAUUUGGGCAUCCGAGCCAAAUUGAUUGGGUUUGGUCUAGGCCUAUCUCAGCACAAUCCCUCUUUCUCUAUCGACGCAAGACACACACUCUAAAC